UACGGGGGGUGCGAGCGUUGUCCGGAUUCACUGGGCGUAAAGGGCGCGUAGGCGGCCGGCUCAGUCGGGCCUGUAAGUGCGGGGCUCAACCCCGUGAUGGGCUCGGGACGGGCGGGCUGGGGCGCGGUCGAGGGAGACGGAAUGCCGAGUGUAGAGGUGAAAUUCGUAGAUAUUCGGAAGAACACCAGUGGCGAAGGCGGCUCACUGGCCCGGUACUGACGCUGAGGUGCGAAAGCGUGGGGAGCAAACAGG
Molecule: ribosomal RNA, 252 nt
Filed under: uncultured bacterium
Lineage: Bacteria
Description: partial 16S ribosomal RNA
Rfam family: Bacterial small subunit ribosomal RNA
Source: RNAcentral